UUCCGGUUGAUCCUGCCGGACCUGACUGCUAUCGGAUUGGUACUAAGCCAUGCGAGUCGUUGUAGCAAUACAAGGCGGACGGCUCAGUAACACGUAGUCAACCUAACCUAUGGACGUGGAUAACCUCGGGAAACUGAGAAUAAACCGCGAUAGAUCAUAAUACCUGGAAUGGUUUAUGGUUCAAAUAAUUUAUUGCCGUAGGAUGGGACUGCGGCCUAUCAGCUUGUUGGUGAGGUAAUGGCCCACCAAGGCUAUAACAGGUACGGGCUCUGAGAGGAGAAGCCCGGAGAUGGGUACUGAGACACGGACCCAGGCCCUAUGGGGCGCAGCAGGCGAGAAACCUUAGCAAUGUGCGAAAGCACGACUAGGUUAAUCCGAGUGAUUUCUGUUGAAGAAAUCCUUUGUCAGUCGUAAAACCACAGACGAAUAAGGGGUGGGCAAGUCUGGUGUCAGCCGCCGCGGUAAUACCAGCACCUCGAGUGGUCAGGAGGUUUAUUGGGCCUAAAGCAUCCGUAGCCGGCUAUGCAAGUCUCCGGUUAAAUCCAACUGCUCAACAGAUGGGCUGCCGGAGAUACUACACAGCUAGGGAGCGGGAGAGGUAGACGGUAUUCUGUGGGUAGGGGUAAAAUCCACUGAUCCAUAGAGGACCACCAGUGGCGAAGGCGGUCUACCAGAACGCGUUCGACGGUGAGGGAUGAAAGCUGGGGGAGCAAACCGGAUUAGAUACCCGGGUAGUCCCAGCUGUAAACGAUGCAAACUCGGUGAUGCAUUGACUUAUGGUCAAUGCAGUGCCGCAGGAAGCCGUUAAGUUUGCCGCCUGGGAAGUACGGACGCAAGUCUGAACUUAAAGGAUU
RNAcentral lists this ribosomal RNA (854 nucleotides) under uncultured archaeon. RNAcentral's name for it is "bacterial SSU rRNA". It matches the Rfam family "Archaeal small subunit ribosomal RNA", at positions 1 to 865 of the family's 1478-position model. The record is from RNAcentral.